UCCCAGCAGUCCAAGUCGCAGCCACAAUUAUUGGGUCUAAAACAUCCGUAGCUUGCUUAGUAAGUCCUUUGUGAAAUCGGGCCUCUUAAGGGUCCGGCAUGCAAAGGAUACUGCUGAGCUUGAGACCGGAAGACGUAAAGAGUACGAAUAGGGUAGCGGUAAAAUGUGUUGAUCCUAUUCGGACUAACAACAGCGAAGGCACUUUACGAGCACGGAUCUGACAGUGAGGGAUGAAGGCUAGGGGCGCAAAGUG
Molecule: ribosomal RNA, 253 nt
Filed under: uncultured archaeon
Lineage: Archaea
Description: partial 16S ribosomal RNA
Rfam family: Archaeal small subunit ribosomal RNA
Source: RNAcentral